Molecule: ribosomal RNA, 492 nt
Filed under: uncultured bacterium
Lineage: Bacteria
Description: partial 16S ribosomal RNA
Rfam family: Bacterial small subunit ribosomal RNA
Source: RNAcentral
AUUGAACGCUGGCGGCAUGCUUUACACAUGCAAGUCGAACGGUAACGGGCCUUCGGGUGCUGACGAGUGGCGAACGGGUGAGUAAUGCAUCGGAACGUGCCCAGCGGUGGGGGAUAACGCAGCGAAAGCUGUGCUAAUACCGCAUGUGAUCUGAGGAUGAAAGCGGGGGACCAAGCAGCAAUGUUUGGCCUCGCGCCUCUGGAGCGGCCGAUGUCAGAUUAGGUAGUUGGUGGGGUAAAGGCCUACCAAGCCGACGAUCUGUAGCUGGUCUGAGAGGACGACCAGCCACACUGGGACUGAGACACGGCCCAGACUCCUACGGGAGGCAGCAGUGGGGAAUUUUGGACAAUGGGCGCAAGCCUGAUCCAGCAAUGCCGCGUGCGGGAAGAAGGCCUUCGGGUUGUAAACCGCUUUUGUACGGAACGAAAAGGCUCUGGCUAAUACCUGGGGCUGAUGACGGUACCGUAAGAAUAAGCACCGGCUAACUACGUG